GUACUUUCCCGGCAGGUUGGAUACCAGGAUCACAAAGGUGCUUUCACCUGGUGAGGUUUAUCCAUUGAUCUCUGUGUAAGCUGAUCCCUGCGAUUUCCCCAAAUGUAGGGAAAUUGACUGCAUAAUUUAUCAUAAUUUAUAAUAGUGGGGGGGCUCUGUAAA
Sorex araneus (European shrew) is the source of this 162-nucleotide small nuclear RNA. RefSeq annotates it as U1 spliceosomal RNA. The transcript has a single exon. NCBI's taxonomy places the organism in Eukaryota, Metazoa, Chordata, Mammalia, Eulipotyphla, Soricidae. The record is from RefSeq and is a predicted model, not a curated record.